UAAUACGUAGGGUGCGAGCGUUAAUCGGAAUUACUGGGCGUAAAGCGUGCGCAGGCGGUUUUGUAAGCCAGUCGUGAAAUCCCCGGGCUCAACCUGGGAAUGGCGAUUGGGACUGCAAGGCUUGAGUAUGGCAGAGGAGACUGGAAUUCCUGGUGUAGCAGUGAAAUGCGUAGAUAUCAGGAGGAAUACCGAUGGCGAAGGCAGGUCUCUGGGCUGAUACUGACGCUCAUGCACGAAAGCGUGGGGAGCAAACAGGAUUAGAUACCCUGGUAGUCCACGCCCUAAACGAUGUCGACUGGUUGUUGGGGGUUUGACACCUUCAGUAACGAAGCUAACGCGUGAAGUCGACCGCCUGGGGAGUACGGCCGCAAGGUUAAAACUUAAAGGAAUUGACGG
This 396-nucleotide ribosomal RNA is filed under the name uncultured bacterium. RNAcentral describes it as "bacterial SSU rRNA". It matches the Rfam family "Bacterial small subunit ribosomal RNA", at positions 521 to 916 of the family's 1533-position model. The record is from RNAcentral.